UCCUGGCUCAGGACGAACGCUGGCGGCGUGCUUAACACAUGCAAGUCGAACGAUGAUGCUCCAGCUUUGUUGGGGUGGAUUAGUGGCGAACGGGUGAGUAACACGUGAGUAACCUGCCCUCUUCUUUGGGAUAACGGUCGGAAACGGCUGCUAAUACUGGAUAUUCACUCAUUGGCGCAUGUUGGUGGGUGGAAAGGUUUUUUCUGGUGGGGGAUGGGCUCGCGGCCUAUCAGCUUGUUGGUGGGGUGAUGGCCUACCAAGGCUUUGACGGGUAACCGGCCUGAGAGGGUGACCGGUCACAUUGGGACUGAGAUACGGCCCAGACUCCUACGGGAGGCAGCAGUGGGGAAUUUUGCACAAUGGGCGCAAGCCUGAUGCAGCGACGCCGCGUGAGGGAUGAAGGCCUUCGGGUUGUAAACCUUUUUCGCUCAUGGUCAAGCCGCAGCUUUGGGUUGUGGUGAGGGUAGUGGGUAAAGAAGCGCCGGCUAACUACGUGCCAGCAGCCGCG
RNAcentral lists this ribosomal RNA (508 nucleotides) under Schaalia turicensis. Its description in RNAcentral is "bacterial SSU rRNA". It matches the Rfam family "Bacterial small subunit ribosomal RNA", at positions 17 to 519 of the family's 1533-position model. The record is from RNAcentral. Lineage: Bacteria; Bacillati; Actinomycetota; Actinomycetes; Actinomycetales; Actinomycetaceae.